This 1232-nucleotide long non-coding RNA is filed under the name Hordeum vulgare. RNAcentral's name for it is "long non-coding RNA (HVUL_LNC009267)". Lineage: Eukaryota; Viridiplantae; Streptophyta; Magnoliopsida; Poales; Poaceae. The record is from RNAcentral.
GCCAUCCAUGAGGAUGGCAGCUCGGGUUGUGCCUAGGAACCAAUCGUGGGGAAACCAAACGGGGGAGUUAGCUUGUGAAAAUUAAAAAAAUCAUGUGACAACCCAAAUAUUUUUGCCAAGUUUACAGAAUCAAUAGAUAAAAUAUUUGUUUUAGACCCACAAAAUAGGCUUACUCUCACACGAACGCUCCAACAAAUUAUCACUAGAAAGUGAAAUAACUGAAAUAUGUGUUCUUUCAACCUUAAUAUUUUUAUCAUUUACAAAAUAUAAGAUGAUAAGUCAAUUGACAACCAGACAAUGCUUAGAACAUGUCAAGAAAAUUUAAGUCUUGGGUAAAAAUUAAGAUUGAUGAAAACAUAGACUUUAGAUUACAAUAUAAGUGAGAAAAUUACAUAAGUCUUAUCUCGUCCAAUGCUGCGUCCAACUUCCUUCUAUAAAACUGCAGCUUGGACCAGAUUUUCUGAGAGCAAAAUAUAACGGAAUAGAAAUGCUUUCUAGAGGCAAGAAAACUCAAGAAUCCACUUAGAAAGCUAUAUAUGUGGACUACAACUGCCAAUGUAAAUGAACCUAUCUAAAAAGUGAAAACUACCUUUUCUAAGACAGGAAAUCUCAAGAAUACAAAGGGGAACAAUGUGUUGCAUGUGUACAUAUCUAAGAAGAUGCUAUUUUCUACACCCGAUUGUGAGUUCCCUAUUAUAUGAUGAAAAAAAUUAGUAAGUUGAGGUGUGAAUGUUUGAAAUUAGUGCUUUCGUUACAAACAAAAACUGGAAAAAUUCAUUCUUCAAUAUUCAUUACCUGCAAUGCAUGUGUUGUUGAUGUCUCUAGGGAAGAAAAUUACUCUAGGCCGUCAGAGUCUACUAGCUCUAAAUUUUGUAUGGAACACAGAAAAUCAAAAGAAUUAGAUCAAGACUUCAGUUACUAAAUGGUAGUAAAAUUUGCAAAAGUAGUAGAAGAAUGUAGUUUAAUGUAACGUCAGUAGAAGAAUGCAAGAUAAAACAUUACUAGUUAUGUAAAGAGUUGAAGAUAAUCAUUGUGGGAACUACAUGUCGAUGUUUUCUAUGAUUACUUAGCAUUCAGAACUCGGGAGGCUUGGCAAUGAGCGGAAAGGCAAGCACCUCUCUGACAGUAGCAGUGAGUAUUGGACAUCAAGGCUGCCAAGCCCGGCUAGGUUCGUUUCAACGUGCAUCCAUGAACACGAGUGCCCACUCUACCAGCGUUGUUGAUGCCAAUGC